RNAcentral lists this ribosomal RNA (253 nucleotides) under uncultured bacterium. RNAcentral describes it as "partial 16S ribosomal RNA". It matches the Rfam family "Bacterial small subunit ribosomal RNA", at positions 524 to 776 of the family's 1533-position model. The record is from RNAcentral.
UACGGGGGGGGCAAGCGUUGUUCGGAAUUACUGGGCGUAAAGGGCUCGUAGGCGGCCAACUAAGUCAGACGUGAAAUCCCUCGGCUUAACCGGGGAACUGCGUCUGAUACUGGAUGGCUUGAGAUUGGGAGAGGGAUGCGGAAUUCCAGGUGUAGCGGUGAAAUGCGUAGAUAUCUGGAGGAACACCGGUGGCGAAGGCGGCGUCCUGGACCAACACUGACACUGAUGAGCGAAAGCCAGGGGAGCAAACGGG